GAUGAACGCUGGCGGCGUGCCUAAUACAUGCAAGUCGAGCGAACGGACGAGAAGCUUGCUUCUCUGAUGUUAGCGGCGGACGGGUGAGUAACACGUGGAUAACCUACCUAUAAGACUGGGAUAACUUCGGGAAACCGGAGCUAAUACCGGAUGAUAUUUUGAACCGCAUGGUUCAAAAGUGAAAGACGGUCUUGCUGUCACUUAUAGAUGGAUCCGCGCUGCAUUAGCUAGUUGGUAAGGUAACGGCUUACCAAGGCAACGAUGCAUAGCCGACCUGAGAGGGUGAUCGGCCACACGAGAACUGAGACACGGUCAAGACUCCUACGGGAGGCAGCAGUAGGGAAUCUUACGCAAUGGGCGAAAGCCUGACGGAGCAACGCCGCGUGAGUGAUGAAGGUCUUCGGAUCGUAAAACUCUGUUAUUAGGGAAGAACAUAUGUGUAAGUAACUGUGCACAUCUUGACGGUACCUAAACAGAAAGCCACGGCUAACUACGUG
Molecule: ribosomal RNA, 497 nt
Filed under: uncultured bacterium
Lineage: Bacteria
Description: partial 16S ribosomal RNA
Rfam family: Bacterial small subunit ribosomal RNA
Source: RNAcentral